Molecule: small nucleolar RNA, 80 nt
Organism: Camelus dromedarius (Arabian camel)
Lineage: Eukaryota; Metazoa; Chordata; Mammalia; Artiodactyla; Camelidae
Gene: SNORD115
Rfam family: Small nucleolar RNA SNORD115
About the family: HBII-52 is a member of the C/D class of snoRNAs, which contain the C (UGAUGA) and D (CUGA) box motifs. HBII-52 is encoded in a tandemly repeated array with another C/D snoRNA, HBII-85, in the Prader-Willi syndrome (PWS) region of chromosome 15. HBII-52 is exclusively expressed in the brain but is absent in PWS patients.
Source: Ensembl
UUCCUGAAAAUAAAAACUCAUAUUAUCUUGAAGACAUAUGAUGGCCUAAAAAAAUGCACAAAAGGAUUAAGCUGAGGCAA